GGUUACUGCUAUCGAGGUUCGACUAAGCCAUGCGAGUCGAAUGUAGCAAUACAUGGCGAACUGCUCAGUAACACGUGGACAACCUGCCCUUAGGUUGGGUAUAAACCCGGGAAACUGGGUAUAAUACCCGAUAGGUCUCGAUUGCUGGAAUGCAUCGAGAUUUAAAGCUCCGGCGCCUAAGGAUGGGUCUGCGGCCUAUCAGGUAGUAGUGGGUGUAGCGUACCUACUAGCCUACGACGGGUACGGGUUGUGAGAGCAAGAGCCCGGAGAUGGAUUCUGAGACACGAAUCCAGGCCCUACGGGGUGCAGCAGGCGCGAAAACUUUACAAUGCUGGCAACAGCGAUAAGGGAACCUCGAGUGCCAGGUUACAAAUCUGGCUGUCGAGAUGCCUAAAAAGCAUUUCAUAGCAAGGGCCGGGCAAGACCGGUGCCAGCCGCCGCGGUAACACCGGCGGCUCGAGUGGUAACCGUUAUUAUUGGGUCUAAAGGGUCUGUAGCCGGCCGGAUAAGUCUCUUGAGAAAUCUGGCAGCUUAACUGUCAGGCUUUCAGGAGAUACUGUCUGGCUCGAGGCCGGGAGAGGUGAGAGGUACUUCAGGGGUAGGGGUGAAAUCUUGUAAUCCUUGAAGGACCACCAGUGGCGAAGGCGUCUCACCAGAACGGACCUGACGGCAAGGGACGAAAGCUAGG
This 688-nucleotide ribosomal RNA is filed under the name archaeon enrichment culture clone A21H87. Its description in RNAcentral is "bacterial SSU rRNA". It matches the Rfam family "Archaeal small subunit ribosomal RNA", at positions 21 to 715 of the family's 1478-position model. The record is from RNAcentral.